Molecule: ribosomal RNA, 292 nt
Filed under: uncultured prokaryote
Description: partial 16S ribosomal RNA
Rfam family: Bacterial small subunit ribosomal RNA
Source: RNAcentral
GUGCCAGCAGCCGCGGUAAUACGGAGGUGGCAAGCGUUAUCCGGAAUUAUUGGGCGUAAAGCGCGCGCAGGUGGUUUCUUAAGUCUGAUGUGAAAGCCCACGGCUCAACCGUGGAGGGUCAUUGGAAACUGGGAGACUUGAGUGCAGGAGAGGAAAGUGGAAUUCCAUGUGUAGCGGUGAAAUGCGUAGAGAUAUGGAGGAACACCAGUGGCGAAGGCGACUUUCUGGUCUGUAACUGACACUGAGGAGCGAAAGCGUGGGUAGCGAACACGAUUAGGAUCCCCCGUAGUCC